Long non-coding RNA from Dermacentor albipictus, 1071 nucleotides. RefSeq lists it as uncharacterized. Lineage: Eukaryota; Metazoa; Arthropoda; Arachnida; Ixodida; Ixodidae. The record is from RefSeq and is a predicted model, not a curated record.
UGCUCCCCAGCUGUGUUCCACAAUCGUAUCAUUUCGCCUGAUGCGACAACUGAGGCAAUGAUACUUGGGAAGAGAAUCGGGGCGCACUGAGCUCAAGUAGUCAACACGCGUGUGUCUACACAGAGAUGACGGCUACGCUCGACGCCAGUAUUCCCGCCGUCGAAGGACUACACUCGACGAAGCAAGUGCGCCUGAAGCUCGGCAACAUGAAGAAACGUUAUCGGAAACUCAGGCGCACCGCAACCACAACCCGCUCGAAAGCCCCCUCCUGGCCGUUCUACCGGUGUCUGCUUGGCUUCCUCGGAGCACUACCGAUCGACGAUAGUGCACUACCGAAUACUCAUCAAGAUGGGCUAUCUGAUCAUAUCAUAACACGUAGUCUUACAGUUUCCCUUCCAAGACGUGCAGCAAGUGAAUGAACUGCCAAAUUGUGGAGAAGCCAUUGCAUCAUGGGGUGAUGGCGAUAUAUCGGCUAAGGAGAGCAGUGUUUGCCAACUAAGCAUUACUCAGGAGCCUCCCACUGACAGCUCAGCUCCAGAGCCUUCUACACACAGCCCAUAGUCUGGGGUAACAAAUGACCUGUAUGCCAGAGAAGACAGCCAUUGUGCCAGCAGCAAUACCAAAUGAAGGAAGAGGCCUGCGCCGACAAACUUCGAAGGACUCGUAAGCUUACACAAGCAAGCGGAACAACGAGCAGCGCAAGCUUCUAAAAAACUUCAAGCUUCAAAAGACGUUCAUCAAGUUGCAAGUAUAAUCUAAUGACAUGCACGCAAGCAUGAUUAGAAUUCUGAAGAAGUAUCUUGUACCAAGUGAUAAAUAAAAGGUGAUAAAUAUAGCACAAAACAAAUAUUCACUCAUCUCUGAAACAUUACACAACACGAUUUCCUAGUGAAGGGAAGUGGCAUUCGAGGGCCUCGCUGACCAGCCAUGCAUUGACGGAGAACAACCUUCCAGAGACCUAGCCACGGCAAAGCUAAUACAAAGCUACAGGAACAGCAGCACUUCCAAUUUAUAACCACAUGACAAAACAGGACGAAAUUGAUCAGAUUUUCCAACACUGCACAAACAACU